This 369-nucleotide ribosomal RNA is filed under the name uncultured Streptococcus sp. RNAcentral's name for it is "bacterial SSU rRNA". It matches the Rfam family "Bacterial small subunit ribosomal RNA", at positions 1012 to 1382 of the family's 1533-position model. Lineage: Bacteria; Bacillati; Bacillota; Bacilli; Lactobacillales; Streptococcaceae. The record is from RNAcentral.
AAGUUACUUCGGUACAUCGGUGACAGGUGGUGCAUGGUUGUCGUCAGCUCGUGUCGUGAGAUGUUGGGUUAAGUCCCGCAACGAGCGCAACCCCUAUUGUUAGUUGCCAUCAUUCAGUUGGGCACUCUAGCGAGACUGCCGGUAAUAAACCGGAGGAAGUGGGGGAUGACGUCAAAUCAUCAUGCCCCUUAUGACCUGGGCUACACACGUGCUACAAUGGUUGGUACAACGAGUUGCGAGUCGGUGACGGCGAGCUAAUCUCUUAAAGCCAAUCUCAGUUCGGAUUGUAGGCUGCAACUCGCCUACAUGAAGUCGGAAUCGCUAGUAAUCGCGGAUCAGCACGCCGCGGUGAAUACGUUCCCGGGCCUU